This 1541-nucleotide unclassified non-coding RNA is filed under the name Hevea brasiliensis (rubber tree). The record is from RNAcentral. Lineage: Eukaryota; Viridiplantae; Streptophyta; Magnoliopsida; Malpighiales; Euphorbiaceae.
GUUCUAUACUGCGAACCAAGACAAUAUAUCGGAGAUCAAAUUUUCUCCCUUUAAAUAGAGCAGGAUGCUCAAUGUACUUCUGACAGAUUUUUGGGCCAGUCUCCAUGAGACGAAUAAUAGCAGAUAGAUUGCUAUUUAUUGUCGUAUCAAUAGUUCUUGCCAUGUUCCAUGGCUUCAAGAUCCACAAAUUGUCUAGAUUCUCUAUUUCACGUAUAUGAAAAUCUCCAAUAAGGUGACUUAGCUGUGUCUCAAGAUUAUAAGUAGGCUGAAGCCAUUCGACCAACCCAUGAGCCUUCUGAAUAGUUUCAGCCAAGUGAUGUUUCAUAACCACGCAAGCCUCAAAUGGAAAUUGAUUUAUGUAUUGUUCAUCAUUUAUUCCUGUUGCCUUCUUUGUCUCCUUGUCUAUCUGCAUGCUUGUCCAUAUAAUGUCUGCAUCUUUGGGCUCAGUUGUGAUAACAAACUCAGGACGAGUCAAAUAUUCCUCCACUUGAGGUAUGUCAGCGUACACACGUAAAGCUCUUCCCUCACCACAAAACAGACUACUUGUAAUUGAUGACCCCUGUACUGGGCUAGCAAUUUUGAUUGAUUGCAAUUUGUUCUUGUAUUUUUCAUAUUCUUUGAUAAAAUAAUUUUUUGGUGUAUGGAACCAAGCAGUUAGGCGAGCAGAUCGUUGCUUCUCUUCCCCGAUACCAAAUAGGUAAUCCCGAGUGCACUCAUCACCUUCUCGAACAUCAUCAAUCGGCCAAAGAAUUGAAUAACUCAUAGCUGAUGCCAAAUUGCCCUCUGGCAUGUAGAGAAAAGGAGAGACUCUAAAAUUUGGCUUGUCGCUGUGGCGCAAAGCAGAACCAAGUUCAUCCAUUACAUACCAUACAGAGGUUUCGUCAAUUUUUUCUUCAUCGGCAAGUCUAUACGUCAUUAAGUACAACCACAUAGCAUUAAUGACACGAUCUGUUAGAGGUUCUCCAGCAGUCCAUUUAGGAAAACGUGGUUGCAACAUUGAAUCAACCACAGACUUCCCGGACUCCAUUAUUUUCGAUGUGUUUACUCCAUUUAGUAGAGAAAGAUUAGGCAGGGCUUCAACAAUUUCAGCAGCACUUUCUCCUAAAGGCCCUGGGAUAUCCACCUCCAGAGAAUGCAAGCAACUGAAUCGUUUAAGAAGCUGAAAUAAAUCACUAAGACAAUUCUGGUCCAAUGGAUUUCCACGCAAGUUUAAAUAAGAAAGAGAUGUGAUCUCUUCAGGAUUAAAUGCCUUGUUCAUCAGAUUGCGAAUAGACCUGUUACUAAGGUCUAGAGAUGUCACAGUCUCCAAAGGAUGAUCUCUUUGAUGAGCACAGUCUGCAUUGUCUUUGUCAUAGAUUCCACCACAAAAUCCUAAUGCCCACUCUCCAUAGUUAGAUGUAAAUUUUGAGUUGCAAAUUUCCAAACUAGGACAACCCUGAAUGAUUGCAGCCUCCGAAUUACUAUUCUCCAAAACCGGAUUAUUAUUCAGCCAGAGAGCUUUAAGAUUGUUGAGUCGGCCGUGCUGAGAAAAUGACCUUAGG